UUGCUUUUCUGAUCUAGUGGCGGACGGGUGAGUAACACGUGAGCAAUCUGCCUUUCAGAGGGGGAUACCGAUUGGAAACGAUCGUUAAUACCGCAUAACAUAAUUGAACCGCAUGAUUUGAUUAUCAAAGAUUUAUCGCUGAAAGAUGAGCUCGCGUCUGAUUAGCUAGUUGGUAAGGUAACGGCUUACCAAGGCGACGAUCAGUAGCCGGACUGAGAGGUUGAUCGGCCACAUUGGGACUGAGACACGGCCCAGACUCC
Molecule: ribosomal RNA, 260 nt
Filed under: uncultured Oscillospiraceae bacterium
Lineage: Bacteria; Bacillati; Bacillota; Clostridia; Eubacteriales; Oscillospiraceae
Description: partial 16S ribosomal RNA
Rfam family: Bacterial small subunit ribosomal RNA
Source: RNAcentral